AUGGCGACGACGACGUAUGUCGUCGACCGCGAGAGGGGAGCCCGGGCGCGGGCCGUUCCACCCGUCAUGAACCCGCGGCGGCAGCAAGUCGUGCUGCUCCUGGGCACCCUCACGGCAAGCUUCUCCUGCUCGGCGGUGCUGGGGCCGCCGGGCAAGCUCUGGCUCGACAACCGCCGCUGGUUCACUGGCAGCCCGUUCGACGUCACGCAUCCCCGGAGAUACGUGGUGUUCUUUUAUUGCAGUGCCAUCGCCUUUGUCGCGUCGCUGGUGGUCAUUCUCCUCCAUCUCCUCCCGGCGAACCUAAUCAGCAGCAACCUGCAGCGAAUCAAGUGGUACGCACUGCGGGUCGCCAUGACCCUGAGCCUGCUUGCUCUGUAUGGCAGAACCUAUCUCCGCGUGUGGACCUCCAUCUACAUAUUCUCUGCCUGCAUCAUCGCAUUGAUACUUUACAUUGCUACUCAAAUCCUUGUAUUCUCUUCAAAGCUUGUGGAGAUUGUGCUCAGCUGUAUGCAAGAAACACCGCAAAAGUGCCCGAAAUUGCUUCGCUCGGAGAAAAAGAAGUACUACCAGCUGAAGGUGGAGCAGAUAAAUCGCCAGCACCAAAACAUAGUGCUCGGGCAAGGCAGUGGCGAUGCCUAUCAGAUUCUGAAGAGAUCUCAAAUGCAUCUCCUUCUGCUCGGGGCUCUGACGGCGAGUGUGACGUAUCAAGCUGGACUGAACGGCGACUUUUGCCAGCAGUACUUCAACGGCGACCAUAUGCCGGACAAAAGAUACCUGGUGUUCUUCUUUGGCAACACCUCCACCUUUGUUGUGUCUCUGGCUAUCUUCCCCAUCCUUAUUUUGAGUAAGGUAUUCAGCACCCAGGAAAUCAAGUAUUACAGCGCGUUGCAGGUCUGCGUGACCCUGGAACUGCUUGGCCUUAUUGGAUCUUAUGUCGCUAGGGAGUGUUUGACAAAAAAACUAUCAGUUUAG
This 972-nucleotide ribosomal RNA is filed under the name Triticum aestivum (bread wheat). RNAcentral describes it as "partial small subunit ribosomal RNA". Lineage: Eukaryota; Viridiplantae; Streptophyta; Magnoliopsida; Poales; Poaceae. The record is from RNAcentral.